UACGGAGGGUGCAAGCGUUGUUCGGAAUCAUUGGGCGUAAAGAGCGUGUAGGCGGUCGGGUAAGUCAGAUGUGAAAUCCCUUGGCUUAACCAAGGAAGUGCAUUUGAAACUACCCGGCUUGAGUACGGGAGGGGGAAGUGGAAUUCCCGGUGUAGAGGUGAAAUUCGUAGAUAUCGGGAGGAACACCGGUGGCGAAGGUGGCUUCCGGGACCGAUACUGACGCUGAGACGCGAAAGCGUGGGGAGCAAACAGG
Molecule: ribosomal RNA, 253 nt
Filed under: uncultured bacterium
Lineage: Bacteria
Description: partial 16S ribosomal RNA
Rfam family: Bacterial small subunit ribosomal RNA
Source: RNAcentral